This 466-nucleotide ribosomal RNA is filed under the name uncultured bacterium. Its description in RNAcentral is "partial 16S ribosomal RNA". It matches the Rfam family "Bacterial small subunit ribosomal RNA", at positions 28 to 507 of the family's 1533-position model. The record is from RNAcentral.
GACGAACGCUGGCGGCGUGCUUAACACAUGCAAGUCGAACGGAAAGGCCUCUUUCGGGGGGUACUCGAGUGGCGAACGGGUGAGUAACACGUGAGUAACCUGCCCUUGACUUUGGGAUAACUUCAGGAAACUGGGGCUAAUACCGGAUAGGAGCUCCUGCUGCAUGGUGGGGGUUGGAAAGUUUCGGCGGUUGGGGAUGGACUCGCGGCUUAUCAGCUUGUUGGUGGGGUAGUGGCUUACCAAGGCUUUGACGGGUAGCCGGCCUGAGAGGGUGACCGGCCACAUUGGGACUGAGAUACGGCCCAGACUCCUACGGGAGGCAGCAGUGGGGAAUAUUGCACAAUGGGUGGAAGCCUGAUGCAGCGACGCCGUGUGCGGGAUGACGGCCUUCGGGUUGUAAACCGCUUUCGCCUGUGACGAAGCGUGAGUGACGGUAAUGGGUAAAGAAGCACCGGCUAACUACGUG